GGCGGGGAAAAGUUACAACAAGCCAAUAGAGUUCAACCAAGAGGACAAUAUGUCAUAUGAAUCCACUCAAGCCUCCCACGGUUCAGAAGAGGCAUUUCGCCAUGUUAAAAGACUGGAGGAAGAUGUUAUUCAUCUCCCAAAAGAGGAUGAAAAUGAUAUGUCUAACAAACAUGAGGAGCAAUUGGAAGAUGAAUUGCACCCCUAUGGGUAUGGUAACGAUGAUUGUGAAAGAUUGGGAGGAUUCAUUAAGGAAAAUGACAUGACAGAAAGAAUCGAUAAGUUCAACCAAGAGGAGAUUAUCUCAUAUGAAUCUGCUCAAGCUUCUCACUGGUCAGAAGAGGUAUUUCACCAUGUUGAAAGAGUGGAGGAAGGUGACAUAAAUUUCACAAAAGUGGAUGAUGAAAAUGAUAUGUCUAACAAACGUGAGGAACAACAUGCACUGAACCCCAAUGGGGAUGUAAAGGAUGAAUGGGAUCGAGUGGCAGGGUACAAUGAAGAGAAUGGAAUUGGAGAAAGAAUGGAUGAUUGGAAAGAAGCAAAGUAUCAUGUGAAAGAGGAAGAGAUGUGGAAUAACAGAGAAGCCCAACCCAAUCGGUCUGAUCAAGAGUAUAUACCUUCAAAUGAAGAGAAACAAAAUCUAUUCGAGCAAGAGCAAAUACCUUCAGGCAGAGAGAAACUGAAUCAGUCUGAGCAAAGGUAUAUCAAUUCAAACGGAGAGAAACUGAAUCAAUCUGAGCAAGAACAUAUACCUUCAGGCGGAGAGAAACUGAAUCAAUCCGAGCCAGAGUACAUAACUUCAGGCGGAGAGAAACAGAACGUAAAUGCACAAGAACACAUAACAACAGACGGAGAGAAAAUGAAUCAAUCCGAGUCAGAGUAUAUACCUUCAGGUGGAGAGAAACUGAAUCAAUCCGAGCCAGAGUACAUAACUUCAGGCGGAGAUAAACUGAAUAUAUCCGACAAUGACAAAGAGGAUCAUGAUGAGGCAAACUACUGUCAAAAUAAUUCUGUUUCAUGGAGGGCUGAGCUAGAAGGCGACAGCUAUGCUCAGGACAACACACUAGCCGACACACACCCCUUGAUCCGUUACAAGAGUGACGAGACGGAUGUCAACACUCUGGCUUCACACAUGGGCGAGAGCGACUCCAGUGAUGGUGAAGAGGACAGGGAGGUUUGCCAGACAGGAACAGACACCUGGGGCGAAGGCAAGUCCAAACAGUUUGACACCAUGGAGGAUCUGUAUGAAGAGUCAGAAGGAGAUGUCAUAGAUCAGGAACGUCACAUGGGCUCCACUCACCAAGGCGACGUGGAUGCUAGCCAAACAAAGGAGCAUGCUACACAGGAGAACGAUGAGGAGAAUGCUGUAGAUCAGUUGAUUCAGGAGGCAGAAGAGGAGCAAUCCUAUGAGGAACUUACAGAACCUGGAGAGUACUCCAUGGUGUGCUCUGAUGAGGACUAUAAUGAAGAAAGAAUUGAUAGAUUGGUGGAGCAAGAGCUAGAGAAUUUAUCUAUAUCCAGUUACAGUGAACACUUUACUGGGCAGAUGAUUGAGAGCGAGUCAGUACUGAGUCUUCAAAUUGAGUCUCACACUGAACUUUCCCAGACACAAGACAUAUUAUACAGUGAGGAGGUAGAGCAGAUACACUCAGAGAGACUGAAUCAAACUGAGCAAAAGUAUAUACACUCAGAGAGACUGAAUCAACCUGAGCAAGAGUAUAUACACUCAGAGAGACUGAAUCAAUCUGAACAAGAGUAUAUACCUUCAGGAGGAGAGAAACUGAAUCUAAAUGCACAAGAACACAUACCCACAGAUGGAGAGAAUCUGAAUCAAUCUGAACAAGAGUAUAUACCCUCAGGCAGAGAGAAACUGAAUCUAUAUGUGCAAGAAAACAUACCCUCAGAUGGAGAGAAAAUGAAUCAAUCUGAACAAGAGAAGAUACCUUCAGGCGGAGAGAAACUGAAUCAAUAUGAGCAAGAGCAUAUACCUUCAGGCGGAGAGAAACAGAACGUAAAUGCACAAGAAAACAUACCAACAGACGGAGAGAAACUGAAUCAAUCCGAGCCAGAGUACAUAACUUCAGGCGGAGAGAAACGGAAUCAAUCCGAGCAAGAGAAUAUACCUUUAGGUGGAGAGAAACGGAAUCAAUCUGAACAAGAGAAGAUACCUUCAGGAGGAGAGAAACUGAAUCAAUCUGAGCCAGAGUAUAUAAUUUCAGGCGGAGAGAAACUGAAUCAAUCUGAACAAGAGGAUAUAACUUCAGGCGGCGAGACACUGGAUAUAUGUGAGCAAGAACAUAUACCCUCAGACAGAGAGAAAAUGAAUCAAUCCGAGCAAGAAAAUAUACCUUUAGGUGGAGAAAAACUGAAUCAAUUCGAGCAAGAAAAUAUACCUUUAGGUGGACAGAAACUGAAUCAAUUCGAGCCAGAGUAUAUAAUUUCAGGCGGAGAGAAACUGAAUCAAUCUGAACAAGAGAAUAUACCUUUAGGUGGACAGAAACUGAAUCAAUUCGAGCCAGAGUACAUAACUUCAGGCGGAGAGAAACUGAAUCUAUAUGUGCAAGAACACAUACCCUCAGACAGAGAGGAACUGAAUCAAUCUGAACAAGAGAAUAUACCUUUAGGCGGAGAGACACUGGAUAUAUGUGAGCAAGAACAUAUACCCUCAGACAGAGAGAAAAUGAAUCAAUCCGAGCAAGAAAAUAUACCUUUAGGUGGAGAAAAACUGAAUCAAUC
Molecule: long non-coding RNA, 2733 nt
Organism: Oncorhynchus tshawytscha (Chinook salmon)
Lineage: Eukaryota; Metazoa; Chordata; Actinopteri; Salmoniformes; Salmonidae
Source: Ensembl